UAAUAGUGAUAAAGAAAAUGUCUUUACUUGAAAACAUCUUUGAAAAUUCAAAUUUAUCGCGCUAAAAUCUUGAGCAUGCUCUUUGUGGUACAGCCUCCCCAUUCGAGAUAUCGAUCCUAUGGCUGAGGGGUCAGAUCAGUAGCAACGCGACAGUACUGAAGGUAAGCUGCGUCUAUAAAUAAAAUAAUAAUAAGCUAAAACAAAUUAUUAUAUUUUCUACUAAAUCAAUUCAGAGAAUAGCUGUCAGUGAACUUAUCAUUUCCAUGAUUAUCCUAGAAAUAAUUUAAUAACAAUAGCUAUUAAGUAGCUGAAAUAUUGCAGAUUUGUAAAAACACAAAAAGAACAAACACUGGGAAAAUGUGUGGUGGAUUUACGUGCUCUAAAAAUGCUUUGACAGCACUGAAUAUUCUUUAUAUUGUAGUAGCAUUUAUAUUAAUUGGAGUCGCGGUUUAUGGAAGAGCUUCAGCAUUGGUAACCAAUUUACCAAUAAUUGGUGGCAUUUUGGCAUGUGGAGUAUUGCUGAUUUUAAUAUCAAUAUUAGGACUAAUUGGAGCUGUAAAGCAUCAUCAAGUGCUUUUGUUUUUCUACAUGCUCAUUCUUUUCCUGUUAUUCUUGGUUCAAUUUAGCAUCGCUUGUGCUUGUCUGGCUGUCAAUACUGAACAACAAGAGCAAUUGGCUGAAGAAGGAUGGAAGCAUGUGGGUUUGGACUUAAAAGCCAAAGUUCAAGAAACCUUCAACUGUUGUGGGUUUAAUGGAACUGAUUCAGAUCCAGUUCAACCUUCAUGUGAGGCUGUUACCACAAUUUGCUGCCGUGCGAAUUAUGGAGAUUCUGUAGCAUGUCGGUGUGAACCUUGUAUGGAUAAACUUCAAUCAACAAUUGAUCAUGCAUUUAAAUUAUGUGGAGGAAUUGGUUUAUUCUUUAGUUUUACUGAGUUCGUUGGUGUUUGGUUGACAGUGCGCUACAGGAACCAGAAAGAUCCAAGAGCUAAUCCUAGUGCUUUUCUUUAGUCUAACAUCAUCGCCAUGUCCCCUGUCACCUCGCACGAAACCUUAAAUAGAUGGUAAUUGCAGCUUUUUUGGCAAGACGUUAUAGAAAUCAGCUAGAUCCUCAAGAGAAAGCCGCAAGAGCUGUUUUUCCAAGACAAAAUUACCUUUAUUGACCCUUUACAAUGUUGAGACCAAUAGUCUUUCUAUCCUUGUCACGCAUUACAAGGUAACAUACAAUCCUUAUCCUGCACAAACCUUGGCGAUCCUUAAUCAAAAAAUAGCCAAAGACAAAACAAUAUUUCUCGAAUUAAUAACGUGAAUUCUUAGGUAUUUAUUUAUUUAAAUACAUCGGUGAAACUCAAAGUUAAAACUAUCUUAUCAAUUGUAAGUAUAAAAAUUUCGUCUUCAAUCUGAUUGGAAAUUUAUUAAACUUAAAAUUGAUAGAAAUAAUUUUAGUGUGUGCUCUAGUCAGCCACGAACAAAAUAUUCGUAAAAUAAUACUAAAAAGAAACUACGCCUCAAAGCGCCUUGUAGACUAGAGAUUCAAUGAAAAGUCUUCUUCAUACGUCAUAAUCACAUAUUUUACUACGUGUAGAUUUCGUUCUAAUCGAUUUAUCUCAAAGUUUUAAAUAGAAGUAGCGAAAUUAACAAAACCUAUUGAAAAAAAAACGAGAAAAUGCACGAAUGUUGUAGUGAUUAUAUUUUAUGUGAGACUUGAAAACUUCUUGAGACUGAUCAAUUGACGGGAAUAUUUAAAGCUCUGGCAACACUGGCAUUUAUCAAGUAUAUUAAAAGAUAUCGUUAUUAUCAUUAUACAUAUAUUCAUAUCUAUAUGUAAAUGUUUAUAGUGAAAUGAUUAAGCUAAAGAUAAUUUAGUUCAUUGCUUCGCAAAAAAAUAUAAACAUUAGUGCUUUAAAUCAUUUCUACUCAACGAAAAAAUCACAACAGAAAUCGUAUGAAGCGUAAUGUAGAUGUAUUGUAAAUUACCAUAGUUGGUAAAUAUUAUAAUAUAAAUUGUGUAUAACUUGUCUA
RNAcentral lists this unclassified non-coding RNA (2019 nucleotides) under Chelonus insularis. RNAcentral's name for it is "tetraspanin-13, transcript variant X1". The record is from RNAcentral. Lineage: Eukaryota; Metazoa; Arthropoda; Insecta; Hymenoptera; Braconidae.